Molecule: ribosomal RNA, 857 nt
Filed under: uncultured bacterium
Lineage: Bacteria
Description: bacterial SSU rRNA
Rfam family: Bacterial small subunit ribosomal RNA
Source: RNAcentral
AGAGUUUGAUCAUGGCUCAGGACGAACGCUGGCGGCGUUAAUACAUGCAAGUCGAGCGCAUCCCGUAACUCGUCGUUGAUCGGUCGAGCUUCGUGGGGAGAGAAGAAGCCACGAGAAAGACGGAAAAGAGAAAGAAAAUCCGAGCGACGAACGACGAACGACGAGUUACGAGGUGAGCGGCGGACGGGUGAGUAACGCGUGGGCAACCUACCUUCCAGCCCGGGAUAACAGAGCGAAAGAGCUGCUAAAACCGGAUAAACUUCCGACCGGACAUCCGGAGGGGAGCAAAAGCAAUGCUGGGAGAUGGGCCCGCGUCCCAUUAGCUAGUUGGUGAGGUAACGGCCCACCAAGGCGACGAUGGGUAGCCGACCUGAGAGGGUGACCGGCCACACUGGGACUGAGACACGGCCCAGACUCCUACGGGAGGCAGCAGUAGGGAAUUUUCGGCAAUGGGCGCAAGCCUGACCGAGCAACGCCGCGUGAGGGAAGAAGGUUUUCGGAUCGUAAACCUCUGUCUUUGGGGAAGAUAAUGACGGUACCCGAGGAGGAAGCCACGGCUAACUACGUGCCAGCAGCCGCGGUAAUACGUAGGUGGCAAGCGUUGUCCGGAAUUACUGGGCGUAAAGGGCGUGUAGGCGGUUUUUUAAGUCAGGCGUGAAAACUUAGGGCUUAACCUUAAGAGUGCGUUUGAAACUGAGAGACUUGAGGAUCGGAGAGGGCAGUGGAAUUCCCAGUGUAGCGGUGAAAUGCGUAGAUAUUGGGAGGAACACCAGUGGCGAAGGCGACUGCCUGGACGACACCUGACGCUGAGGCGCGAAAGCCAGGGGAGCAAACGGGAUUAGAUACCCCAGUAGUCC